Molecule: ribosomal RNA, 373 nt
Filed under: uncultured bacterium
Lineage: Bacteria
Description: bacterial SSU rRNA
Rfam family: Bacterial small subunit ribosomal RNA
Source: RNAcentral
AUACGGAGGAUCCGAGCGUUAUCCGGAUUUAUUGGGUUUAAAGGGUGCGCAGGCGGGAGAUUAAGUCGGCGGUGAAAUUUUGCAGCUUAACUGUAAAAGUGCCAUCGAUACUGGUUUCCUUGAGUGUAGAUGAAGUAGGCGGAAUUUGUGGUGUAGCGGUGAAAUGCAUAGAUAUCACGAGGAACUCCGAUUGCGCAGGCAGCUUACUAAACUACUACUGACGCUCAGGCACGAAGGCGUGGGGAUCAAACAGGAUUAGAUACCCUGGUAGUCCACGCAGUAAACGAUGAUUACUCGCUGUUUGCGAUAUACAGUAAGCGGCUUAGCGAAAGCGUUAAGUAAUCCACCUGGGGAGUACGUUCGCAAGAAUGAA